This is a non-coding RNA of Odocoileus virginianus texanus, 514 nucleotides long. NCBI's taxonomy places the organism in Eukaryota, Metazoa, Chordata, Mammalia, Artiodactyla, Cervidae. The record is from RefSeq and is a predicted model, not a curated record.
AGAACUUUCACUUUUUCACCCAAAGGAAGAUUCUGUGGCUUACCCUUGGCAUAUUCAAAUUGCCAGCAUCACUACUCUUGUGCUUUGGGACCAUUAUUAGUAAUAUGAGGUUUCCUUGAGCACAAGCACUGUGAUACUUCGACAGUGAAUCUGAUAGCUGACGUAGCUAUUAGGUUCUAUUUGACAAGCAAAAUGAAGAAAUGUUACUUAGAGAAAAGAAUGGAAUGGUAACUUCAACUUUGAAACAUCAUACAUUGGAAAAGGCUCCGUUGCUGAACUCUGACCUUGCUACCCACAACCCAUUGGAGAGCUGUGCUUCAUGGCUGCCACUGAUGAUAAAACCCAGGGACACCCUGAUACUCUUACAGCCACCGUGGAGUCUCCCAACCUGCCAAAUGCUCCUAGACCUGAUAGCAGCCAAGUCUUGUGCCAUCUCUCCUGUUUUGUUGGUAUGAAGAAAGCCCCCCAUUCAUCUGGAUCACCUGGACAGUGCUGCACUUGCCUUUGUGACACG